UACGUAGGGUGCGAGCGUUAAUCGGAAUUACUGGGCGUAAAGCGUGCGUAGACGGUCAUGUAAGUCGGGUGUGAAAGCCCCGGGCUCAACCUGGGAAUUGCAUUCGAGACUGCAUGGCUAGGGUGCGGAAGAGGGAAGCGGAAUUUCCGGUGGAGCGGUGAAAUGCGUAGAGAUCCGGAGGAACACCGACGGCGUAGGCAGCGCCCUGGACGACACCUGACGCUGAGGCACGAAAGCUGGGGGAGCGAACAGG
This 253-nucleotide ribosomal RNA is filed under the name uncultured bacterium. RNAcentral's name for it is "partial 16S ribosomal RNA". It matches the Rfam family "Bacterial small subunit ribosomal RNA", at positions 524 to 776 of the family's 1533-position model. The record is from RNAcentral.